This 48-nucleotide non-coding RNA is filed under the name Schistosoma curassoni. Lineage: Eukaryota; Metazoa; Platyhelminthes; Trematoda; Strigeidida; Schistosomatidae. The record is from RNAcentral.
AUCCUGUUGACAAGUUCCAAAUAGGACGAAACACGCGUCAAACUGGAU